CCUACGGGUGGCAGCAGUGAGGAAUAUUGGUCAAUGGACGAGAGUCUGAACCAGCCAAGUAGCGUGAAGGAUGACUGCCCUAUGGGUUGUAAACUUCUUUUAUAUGGGACUAAAAUGUUCCACGUGUGGGAUUUUGUAUGUACCAUAUGAAUAAGGAUCGGCUAACUCCGUGCCAGCAGCCGCGGUAAUAAGGAGGAUCCGAGCGUUUUCCGGGUUUUUUGGGUUUAAAGGGAGAGUUGGUGGAUAGUGAAGUCAGUUGUGAAAGUUUGCGGCUUAACCGUAAAAUUGCAGUUGAAACUGGCAGUCUUGAGUACAGUAGAGGUGGGCGGAAUGCGUGGUGUAGCGGUGAAAUGCUUAGAUAUCACGAAGAACUCCGAUUGCGAAGGCAGCUCACUGGACUGCAACUGACACUGAGGCUCGAAAGUGUGGGUAUCAAACAGGAUUAGAUACCCUGGUAGUC
This 460-nucleotide ribosomal RNA is filed under the name uncultured bacterium. RNAcentral describes it as "partial 16S ribosomal RNA". It matches the Rfam family "Bacterial small subunit ribosomal RNA", at positions 338 to 795 of the family's 1533-position model. The record is from RNAcentral.